This 196-nucleotide ribosomal RNA is filed under the name Oenococcus oeni. RNAcentral describes it as "partial 16S ribosomal RNA". It matches the Rfam family "Bacterial small subunit ribosomal RNA", at positions 526 to 721 of the family's 1533-position model. The record is from RNAcentral. Lineage: Bacteria; Bacillati; Bacillota; Bacilli; Lactobacillales; Lactobacillaceae.
CGAAUGUCCCGAGCGUUAUCCGGAUUUAUUGGGCGUAAAGCGAGCGCAGACGGUUUAUUAAGUCUGAUGUGAAAUCCCGAGGCCCAACCUCGGAACUGCAUUGGAAACUGAUUUACUUGAGUUCGAUAGAGGCAAGUGGAACUCCAUGUGUAGCGGUGAAAUGCGUAGAUAUGUGGAAGAACACCAGUGGCGAAAG